AGAGGGGUGGGGCUUUUGUAAUUCCAGCUACUUCAGAAAGAGGUGGGCGAAUGACAAGUACAAAUCCUGCCUGGGCAACAUGGGGAAACUGUCUCAAAACAAAAUAAAGGGCUGGGGAUGUAGGUCAGUGGUAGAAUGAUCGCCUAGCAUAUUUCAGUCCCAAACUGGUUUCAAGUCCCAAACCAGAAAAAAACAAUGUAACAAAUGCAUUGAGAUCUUCAGUCAAAUUGGUGUCUUGCAUAUCAGAAUUCAUGGUGGAGAGAUGCCCUGUGGAUGUGAUGAGUGGCAAAGACUAGGGUGCAUCUGACCUGACCGAUUAUGUGAUCCACACCAAGUGACGAGGUGUUCACUGACAUCUCCUACCGUGCAAAUUGUCAAGACUUUAUCCUAGAGAAAAAAAACACAAAUGAAUUAGGCAAAGUGUCAGUCAGCAUUCAAGUCCUGCAAGACCCCUCAGAGUUCCUAGUGGAAAAAUUAUCUUCCAUGAUCAAGAAAUAUGCAGACCCUUUAGGCCUCAUUUAAGGCUUAGUAACUUUCAGUGAGUCUGUGACAGAGAGGAAUCUUACCCAUGCAUUGGACAUACACAGACCUUCAGGUAAAAGUCUGUCGUCAGGAUUCCUGCUGGAAAUAAACCUCACAAAUGUACCAAGGGUGGCAGAUCUUUAGUGUGCACUCGGCCCUCUAUACACACCAGGCCUAUCAUGACUGUGUCCAAAAAGGAACCCUGAGAAGCCAAGGCCUUACUUCAUGGAAUGAGGAUCACUGCUGUCCUUGCUCCUGGAAGAGAAGGACUCUGCCUAUUAGAAUGCAGCAGUGUCUGCACCAAGGACUGUUUGGAAGGGGCUGAGCAGGAUGUAGAAUUAGUAUGUUGGUCAUCCUGCUUGCUGUGGUAGGUGCACCCUUGUCCAUAUUGUCCAGGAAGUAUGCAGGGAAUUGGUGGCCACCCACUGCAUUUAAUGGCCAGAGCUGUUCUUUGGAAUGAUUGAAGAGUGAUUGGUCUUAUUCUUGGAAUUGAAAAGUUAUUAGGGAGAUCAAGCAAAAGAACCACAAUAGCAUUUUCUUGUGGAGGAAUCACCUUUACCUGCUGAUGUUGCCUUUGGUUCUGAUUUAUUCA
RNAcentral lists this long non-coding RNA (1114 nucleotides) under Sciurus vulgaris (Eurasian red squirrel). RNAcentral describes it as "lncRNA (ENSSVLG00005021373.1)". Lineage: Eukaryota; Metazoa; Chordata; Mammalia; Rodentia; Sciuridae. The record is from RNAcentral.